RNAcentral lists this ribosomal RNA (251 nucleotides) under Dehalococcoidia bacterium. RNAcentral describes it as "partial 16S ribosomal RNA". It matches the Rfam family "Eukaryotic small subunit ribosomal RNA", at positions 1583 to 1831 of the family's 1831-position model. The record is from RNAcentral. Lineage: Bacteria; Bacillati; Chloroflexota; Dehalococcoidia.
AUUGUAAUUAUUAAUCUUCAACGAGGAAUUCCUAGUAAGUAUGAGUCAUCAGCUCGUGCUGAUUACGUCCCUGCCCUUUGUACACACCGCCCGUCGCUCCUACCGAUUGAGCAAUCCGGUGAAUUAUUCGGACCGUGCACUUGUUGGAAACAACUUGUGUCUUGGAAAGUCUUUUGAACCUUAUUGCUUAGAGGAAGGAGAAGUCGUAACAAGGUUUCCGUAGGUGAACCUGCGGAAGGAUCAUUCACACG